This 498-nucleotide ribosomal RNA is filed under the name uncultured bacterium. RNAcentral describes it as "partial 16S ribosomal RNA". It matches the Rfam family "Bacterial small subunit ribosomal RNA", at positions 28 to 523 of the family's 1533-position model. The record is from RNAcentral.
GAUGAACGCUAGCGGCAGGCCUAAUACAUGCAAGUCGAGGGAGAAUGUUGGAUUCGUCUGACAUGAAACCGGCGCACGGGUGCGUAACACGUAUGCAACCUACCUUUAACUGGGGUAUAGCUCAGAGAAAUCUGAAUUAAUCCCCCAUAAGACUACGACAUGGCAUCAUGAUGUAGUUAAAGCUCCGGCGGUUAAGGAUGGGCAUGCGGUACAUUAGCUAGUUGGUGAGGUAAUGGCUCACCAAGGCUACGAUGUAUAGGGGGUCUGAGAGGAUGAUCCCCCACACUGGUACUGAGACACGGACCAGACUCCUACGGUAGGCAGCAGUAGGGAUUAUUGGUCAAUGGACGUAAGUCUGAACCAGCCAUGCCGCGUGAAGGAUGAAGGCCCUAUGGGUCGUAAACUUCUUUUAUUAGGGAAGAAAAAACGGGAUGCGUCCUGUACUGACGGUACUUAAUGAAUAAGGAUCGGCUAACUUCGUGCCAGCCGCCGCAGUAA